RNAcentral lists this ribosomal RNA (798 nucleotides) under uncultured Glomus. Its description in RNAcentral is "SSU rRNA". It matches the Rfam family "Eukaryotic small subunit ribosomal RNA", at positions 314 to 1114 of the family's 1831-position model. Lineage: Eukaryota; Fungi; Glomeromycota; Glomeromycetes; Glomerales; Glomeraceae. The record is from RNAcentral.
AUCAACUUUCGAUGGUAGGAUAGAGGCCUACCAUGGUGGUAACGGGUAACGGGGUGUUAGGGCACGACACCGGAGAGGGAGCCUGAGAAACGGCUACCACAUCCAAGGAUGGCAGCAGGCGCGCAAAUUACCCAAUCCCGACACGGGGAGGUAGUGACAAUAAAUAACAAUACAGGGUUCUUUCGGAUCUUGUAAUUGGAAUGAGUACAAUUUAAAUCUCUUAACGAGGAACAAUUGGAGGGCAAGUCUGGUGCCAGCAGCCGCGGUAAUUCCAGCUCCAAUAGCGUAUAUUAAAGUUGCUGCAGUUAAAAAGCUCGUAGUUGAAUUUCGGGACCAAUAUGUCGGUCGUGCUUUUGUACGUACUGAUAUAAUUGGUUUCUCCCUUCUGAAGAACCUUGAUGUCAUUAAUUUGGUGUCUUGGGGAAUCAGGACUGUUACUUUGAAAAAAUUAGAGUGUUUAACGCAGGCUCGCGCUUGAAUACAUUAGCAUGGAAUAAUGAAAUAGGACGUUUGAUUCUAUUUUGUUGGUUUCUAGGAUCGACGUAAUGAUUAAUAAGGAUAGUUGGGGGCAUUAGUAUUCAAUUGUCAGAGGUGAAAUUCUUGGAUUUAUUGAAGACUAACUACUGCGAAAGCAUUUGCCAAGGAUGUUUUCAUUAAUCAAGAACGAAAGUUAGGGGAUCGAAGACGAUCAGAUACCGUCGUAGUCUUAACCAUGAACUAUGCCGACUAGGGAUCGGAUGAUGUUAAUUUUUUAAUGACUCAUUCGGCGCCUUACGGGAAACCAAAGUGUUUGGGUUC